UUUUUAUUUUUAAAAGACCUAGCAAUAGGUAUGCUUAGGGAAGAGCUUGCGUCACAUUAGUUAGUUGGUGGGGUAAUGGCCUACCAAGACGAUGAUGUGUAGCCGGGCUGAGAGGUCGAACGGCCACAUUGGGACUGAGACACGGCCCAAACUCCUACGGGAGGCAGCAGUAAGGAAUUUUCGGCAAUGGAGGAAACUCUGACCGAGCAAUGCCGCGUGAACGAUGAAGUAUUUCGGUACGUAAAGUUCUUUUAUUAGGGAAGAAAAGAUGGUGGAAAAACCAUUAUGACGGUACCUAAUGAAUAAGCCCCGGCUAACUAUGUGCCAGCAGCCGCGGUAAUACAUAGGGGGCAAGCGUUAUCCGGAAUUAUUGGGCGUAAAGGGUGCGUAGGCGGUUAAAUAAGUUUAUGGUCUAAGUGCAACGCUCAACGUUGUGAUGCUAUAAAAACUGUUUAGCUAGAGUUGGAUAGAGGCAAGUGGAAUUCCGUGUGUAGUGGUAAAAUGCGUAAAUAUACGGAGGAACACCAGAAGCGAAGGCGGCUUGCUGGGUCUUAACUGACGCUGAGGCACGAAAGCGUGGGGAGCAAACAGGAUUAGAUACCCUGGUAGUCCACGCCCUAAACGAUGAGUACUAAACGUUGGAUAAAACCAGUGUUGAAGUUAACACAUUAAGUACUCCGCCUGAGUAGUACGUACGCAAGUAUGAAACUUAAAGGAAUUGACGGGACUCCGCACAAGCGGUGGAUCAUGUUGUUUAAUUCGAAGGUACCCGAAAAACCUCACCAGGUCUUGACAUGCUUUUGCAAAGCUGUAGAAAUACAGUGGAGGUUAUCAGAAGCACAGGUGGUGCAUGGUUGUCGUCAGCUCGUGUCGUGAGAUGUUGGGUUAAGUCCCGCAACGAGCGCAACCCUUGUUGUUAAUUGCCAUCAUUAAGUUGGGGACUUUAGCAAGACUGCCAAUGAUAAAUUGGAGGAAGGUGGGGACGACGUCAAAUCAUCAUGCCCCUUAUGACCUGGGCUACAAACGUGAUACAAUGGCUGUUACAAAGGGUAGGUAAAGGGUAAGCUUUUGGCGAAUUUCAAAAAAGCAGUUUUUGUUUGGAAUGAAGUUUGCAACUUGACUUCAUGAAGUUGGAAUCGCUAGUAAUCGCGAAUCAGCAUGUCGCGGUGAAUACGUUCUCGGGGUUUGUACACACCGCCCGUCAAACCACGAAAGUUGGCAAUACCCAAAGCCGGUGGCCUAACUUGAGCAAUCAAGAAGGAGCCGUCUAAGGUAGGGUUGAUGAUUGGGGUUAAGUCGUAACAAGGUAUCCCUACCGGAAGGUGGGGAUGGAUCACCUCCUUUCU
RNAcentral lists this ribosomal RNA (1346 nucleotides) under Candidatus Phytoplasma solani. RNAcentral describes it as "bacterial SSU rRNA". It matches the Rfam family "Bacterial small subunit ribosomal RNA", at positions 182 to 1533 of the family's 1533-position model. Lineage: Bacteria; Bacillati; Mycoplasmatota; Mollicutes; Acholeplasmatales; Acholeplasmataceae. The record is from RNAcentral.